RNAcentral lists this ribosomal RNA (484 nucleotides) under uncultured bacterium. Its description in RNAcentral is "partial 16S ribosomal RNA". It matches the Rfam family "Bacterial small subunit ribosomal RNA", at positions 30 to 507 of the family's 1533-position model. The record is from RNAcentral.
AUUGAACGCUGGCGGCAGGCCUAACACAUGCAAGUCGAGCGGAUGAAGGGAGCUUGCUCCUGGAUUCAGCGGCGGACGGGUGAGUAAUGCCUAGGAAUCUGCCUGGUAGUGGGGGAUAACGUCCGGAAACGGGCGCUGAUACCGCAUACGUCCUGAGGGAGAAAGUGGGGGAUCUUCGGACCUCACGCUAUCAGAUGAGCCUAGGUCGGAUUAGCUAGUUGGUGGGGUAAAGGCCUACCAAGGCGACGAUCCGUAACUGGUCUGAGAGGAUGAUCAGUCACACUGGAACUGAGACACGGUCCAGACUCCUACGGGAGGCAGCAGUGGGGAAUAUUGGACAAUGGGCGAAAGCCUGAUCCAGCCAUGCCGCGUGUGUGAAGAAGGUCUUCGGAUUGUAAAGCACUUUAAGUUGGGAGGAAGGGCAGUAAGUUAAUACCUUGCUGCUUUGACGUUACCAACAGAAUAAGCACCGGCUAACUUCGUG